This 89-nucleotide small RNA is filed under the name Tatumella ptyseos ATCC 33301. RNAcentral's name for it is "t44 RNA". It matches the Rfam family "t44 RNA". From Rfam's summary of the family: This family consists of a number of bacterial RNA genes of between 135 and 170 bases in length. The t44 gene is found between the map and rpsB genes in all species in the full alignment apart from Shigella flexneri. Lineage: Bacteria; Pseudomonadati; Pseudomonadota; Gammaproteobacteria; Enterobacterales; Erwiniaceae. The record is from Rfam by way of RNAcentral.
GGUACAGACUGACCAAAACACACAUGUAUCGACACAUACUCCGGGGUGCCUUAUACAGGUCGGUAGUAUGGGAUACAUGGAGGCUCAAC